RNAcentral lists this ribosomal RNA (468 nucleotides) under uncultured bacterium. Its description in RNAcentral is "partial 16S ribosomal RNA". It matches the Rfam family "Bacterial small subunit ribosomal RNA", at positions 28 to 507 of the family's 1533-position model. The record is from RNAcentral.
GACGAACGCUGGCGGCGUGCUUAACACAUGCAAGUCGAACGGAAAGGCCCUGCUUUUGUGGGGUGCUCGAGAGGCGAACGGGUGAGUAACACGUGAGUAACCUGCCCUUGACUGUGGGAUAACUCCAGGAAACAGGGGCGAAUACCGGAUAGGAGAUCCUGCUGCAUGGUGGGGGAUGGAAAGUUACGGCGGUUGGGGAUGGACUCGCGGCUUAUCAGCUUGUUGGGGGGGUAGUGGAUUACAAAGGCUGUGACGGGUAGCCGGCCUGAGAGGGUGACCGGCCACAUUGGGCCUGCGAUACGGCCCAGUCUCCUACGUGACGCAGCAGUGGGGAAUCUUGCACAAUGGGCCGAAGCCUGAUGCAGCAACGCCGCGUGCGGGAUGCCGGCCUUCUGGUUGUAAACCGCUUUCGCCUGUGCCGAAGCGUGAGUGACGGUAAUGGGUAAAGAAGCACCGGCUAACUACGUG